This 241-nucleotide ribosomal RNA is filed under the name uncultured bacterium. RNAcentral describes it as "partial 16S ribosomal RNA". It matches the Rfam family "Bacterial small subunit ribosomal RNA", at positions 15 to 248 of the family's 1533-position model. The record is from RNAcentral.
GAUCAUGGCUCAGGACGAACGCUGGCGGCGCGCCUAACACAUGCAAGUCGAACGAGAGAUGAAGAGCUUGCUCUUCAAAUCGAGUGGCGAACGGGUGAGUAACGCGUGAGGAACCUGCCUCAAAGAGGGGGACAACAGUUGGAAACGACUGCUAAUACCGCAUAAGCCCACGGCUCGGCAUCGAGCAGAGGGAAAAGGAAGUGAUCCGCUUUGUAGAUGGCCGUCCGCGUCCCGGACUUAG